Molecule: ribosomal RNA, 651 nt
Filed under: Rhizopus delemar
Lineage: Eukaryota; Fungi; Mucoromycota; Mucoromycetes; Mucorales; Rhizopodaceae
Description: partial large subunit ribosomal RNA
Rfam family: Eukaryotic large subunit ribosomal RNA
Source: RNAcentral
ACGGCGAGUGANAGGAAGAGCUCAAAGUUGGAACCUGUUUGGCCUAGCUAAACCGGAUUGUAGACUGUAGAAGUGUUUUCCAGGCAAGCCGAGUAAAUAAGUCCUUUGGAACAGGGCAUCAUAGAGGGUGAGAAUCCCGUCUUUGGCUUGAGCAUUUGCCUUUUGUGAUACGCUUUCAAAGAGUCAGGUUGUUUGGGAAUGCAGCCUAAAUUGGGUGGUAAAUCUCACCUAAAGCUAAAUAUUGGCGAGAAACCGAUAGCGAACAAGUACCGUGAGGGAAAGAUGAAAAGAACUUUGAAAAGAGAGUUAAACAGUAUGUGAAAUUGUUAAAAGGGAACCGUUUGGAGCCAGACUGGCUUGUCUGUAAUCAAUCUAGGCUUCGGCCUGGAUGCACUUGCAGGCUAUGCCUGCCAACGACAAUUUGACUUGAGGGAAAAAACUAAGGGAAAUGUGGCCCACUUGUGGGUGUUAUAGUCCCUUAGAAAAUACCUUGGGUUGGAUUGAGGAACGCAGCGAAUGCUUUUUGGCGAGUUUUCCAGGAAGGUUUUCUGAGGUACUACGGUAUCAAGGUUGAUCUUUUUGGUUAUACUUCUAUUCGCUUAGGUUGUUGGCUUAAUGACUCUAAAUGACCCGUCUUGANNNNACGGACCA